AGCUUUGAGCAGUGGCAGUAUCAUAGCCAAAGAGGUUUAUCAGAGGUGGGAUUACUGCUAAUUGAAAAUUUUAUAUAAACUAAUUAGAUAUUCUAUGUAAAGUGGACAAAUUUCUAGAAAUACACAAACCCCCAAAAUUGAU
Small nuclear RNA from Phyllostomus hastatus (greater spear-nosed bat), 142 nucleotides. RefSeq annotates it as U4 spliceosomal RNA. The transcript has a single exon. The record is from RefSeq and is a predicted model, not a curated record. NCBI's taxonomy places the organism in Eukaryota, Metazoa, Chordata, Mammalia, Chiroptera, Phyllostomidae.